GGAGAAGGUCAGAUGAUCGCCGGUUUGCUUUUUGCAGAUUGGAGGAAAGUCCGAGCUCCUCAGGGCAGGAUGGUCGCUAACGGCGACUGGAGGCGACUCUAAGGAAAGUGCCACAGAAAACAUACCGCCCGGCGCAAGCGGGGUAAGGGUGAAAAGGCGAGGUAAGAGCUCACCGCUUUUCCGGCGACGGAAAAGGCAGGGUAAACCCCAUCCGGAGCAAGACCAAAUAGGAGAACGUUUAAGGGCGGCCCGUCUGAUGUUCUCGGGUAGUGUCGCUAGAGGCGUAAGGCAACUUGCGUCCCAGAUGAAUGAUCAUCACCGCAGGAAGGGCAACCUGAGCGCGGGACAGAACUCGGCUUACGAUCUUCUCUUCGC
RNAcentral lists this RNase P RNA (375 nucleotides) under Smithella sp. RNAcentral describes it as "RNase P RNA component class A". It matches the Rfam family "Bacterial RNase P class A". From Rfam's summary of the family: Ribonuclease P (RNase P) is a ubiquitous endoribonuclease, found in archaea, bacteria and eukarya as well as chloroplasts and mitochondria. Its best characterised activity is the generation of mature 5'-ends of tRNAs by cleaving the 5'-leader elements of precursor-tRNAs. The record is from RNAcentral. Lineage: Bacteria; Pseudomonadati; Thermodesulfobacteriota; Syntrophia; Syntrophales; Smithellaceae.